GCUGAACAAACUAGCUGCUGGGCAGCAGCCGAAAAGGUUUUGGGUUCAAAUCCCAAUGUCGGCA
Molecule: non-coding RNA, 64 nt
Organism: Merluccius polli (Benguela hake)
Lineage: Eukaryota; Metazoa; Chordata; Actinopteri; Gadiformes; Merlucciidae
Source: the annotation of a GenBank genome assembly